CUUUUCUUUUCCUUACCAAGGAAUGUUAGUGAGCUGAAACUAGGCUUGGGACUGUCUUGUUGUAGAUGAAAGGGAAAAGAGCAGGCAAUGUCAGCUUCAUAUUCGUUGCAUGUGCUUUUUGCUCUUCUACUGAGAAGUUUUCUCUAGUUCUUUUUGGACUUGCGAUUCCACAAUGCUCUCCAUGAUCCGUGAAUUGACAAAACAAGAAGAAAAGUUUGCCUUCGCUGGCAAGAACUGUUGUCUUCAGCACAUGAAGAACUCCGUGAGCGUUGCAAUAUCUCAGGAUCGCUUUGUUGGAAGGAAAUGGUUGAGAUACGAAUAGGAAGGAACAUCAAGAAGAAGAAAAUACGUUUUCAUAAUUUGGCAGGACGGUGAAAGAGAAUAGUGAAGGAAAAUUUUCUCUUGGUUAGAAGGAAAAUUAGAACUAGGACAAGACAAUGUCUUGGAAAUAAAUAAUGACAGUCAAUGCUCGAGGAUGUGAAUUUGAAUCUGAUUGCCUUAUCUUUAUUGUGACAGGUGAAAAUACUCUAAACUUUAGUAUGAUGGAUGCUUCCCGAUUGCCUUCUUCAGUUUCCGCUCCUCAGGAAGCUUCACAUUAUGAUGAGCUCCCCAUGAAACAGAGUUUCAACUUUUCAGAUAGCUUGAAGGACUUGAAGCAUCUUAGAAAGCAGUUAUAUCGGCAGCUGAUUAUUUUGAAUUGUCUUACAAUAGACACGAUCAGAAACAAAUAGUGGUGAACACAUUGAAGGGUUAUGUGACGAGAGCUUUCAUAAACACUGUGGAUCACUUGGGC
This is a long non-coding RNA of Eucalyptus grandis, 793 nucleotides long. RefSeq lists it as uncharacterized. The transcript has 3 exons. The record is from RefSeq and is a predicted model, not a curated record. NCBI's taxonomy places the organism in Eukaryota, Viridiplantae, Streptophyta, Magnoliopsida, Myrtales, Myrtaceae.